UUUCAUGAUGAAACAACAAACGUAUCAAUCUGUCAAUCCCCUGAUUCAUAGUGAUGAUAAAUACGGCUGUCCAAGGCUUCUGAUC
RNAcentral lists this small nucleolar RNA (85 nucleotides) under Neurospora crassa. RNAcentral's name for it is "box C/D snoRNA CD44". The record is from RNAcentral. Lineage: Eukaryota; Fungi; Ascomycota; Sordariomycetes; Sordariales; Sordariaceae.